RNAcentral lists this transfer RNA (772 nucleotides) under uncultured cyanobacterium. Its description in RNAcentral is "partial 16S-23S ribosomal RNA intergenic spacer". The stretch from base 209 to 281 matches the Rfam family "tRNA". The record is from RNAcentral. Lineage: Bacteria; Bacillati; Cyanobacteriota.
CAGGGAGACAACAAAAUGUUAAAUAUUAAUUUUGUCACCUUAGGUCGAUCGGUAUCUCAGGUUCUUAAUUACUUUAAGAAUUUCAUUUCCUAAGUUUUUUCUAGGUCACACCCAUUACUUUCCCUGGGCCAUUAGCUCAGGUGGUUAGAGCGCACCCCUGAUAAGGGUGAGGUCCCUGGUUCAAGUCCAGGAUGGCCCAUUCGGUGUUGGGGGUUUAGCUCAGUUGGUAGAGCGCCUGCUUUGCAAGCAGGAUGUCAGCGGUUCGAGUCCGCUAACCUCCACUGACGAAUCUUCUGACAACGAGCCAAUGGUGAGAAUCGUUGUGUGAUGUGAUUUAGGAUUUAAGUUUGCUGGCAGACCCUAGCUUCUUAUCAUUCCAGGACUCAAUCAAUUGAGAUGAGGUUGAUAGGACGCUGGGCUCACUGUAAUUCGCAAGAAUUGCAGAGAUGUUCAGCAGAACCUUGACAACUGCAUAGGUAAGUCUGGAAAGAAUAAAGCAUCUCAUGGAUGCAUGAUUCUUGCGAGUCAGCUAAUGCAAUCUGCGCCAGUAGAGAGCUGAGGUUGAUCAACGAGAAUGAUGUUUGAUUCUUGAGUCAAGAGCCGAGACUCUAUAGCGUUCUUUCGAUGUCAUCGAGGCAUCGAAAGUUUGAUUGGUGAUUCAAACCAUCUUCAAUGACAAACAAUUCAGUUUAACUGGAGAAGUUUGAGAUUGAAGCCAGGUGAAUUGCUAAGAAUACGUAUUCAACUACGUGAAGCGUUAUAGAGAUUAAUU